RNAcentral lists this ribosomal RNA (514 nucleotides) under uncultured bacterium. RNAcentral's name for it is "bacterial SSU rRNA". It matches the Rfam family "Bacterial small subunit ribosomal RNA", at positions 29 to 532 of the family's 1533-position model. The record is from RNAcentral.
AGUGAACGCUGGCGGCAGGCCUAACACAUGCAAGUCGAACGGCAGCACGGCAGUAGCAAUACUGUGGGUGGCGAGUGGCGGACGGGUGAGGAAUACAUCGGGAUCUACCCUGUUGUGGGGGAUAACGUAGGGAAACUUACGCUAAUACCGCAUAAGAACUGAGGUUGAAAGCGGCGGACCGCAAGGCGUCGCGCGAUUGGAUGAACCGAUGUCCGAUUAGCUAGUUGGCGGGGUAAAGGCCCACCAAGGCGACGAUCGGUAGCUGGUCUGAGAGGACGACCAGCCACACUGGAACUGAGACACGGUCCAGACUCCUACGGGAGGCAGCAGUGGGGAAUAUUGGACAAUGGGCGCAAGCCUGAUCCAGCCAUGCCGCGUGGGUGAAGAAGGCCUUCGGGUUGUAAAGCCCUUUUGUCCGGAAAGAAAGCAUUCGGUUAAUACCCGGGUGUUCUGACGGUACCGGAAGAAUAAGCACCGGCUAACUUCGUGCCAGCAGCCGCGUAAACAUAACUCG